GUGGGCUGGAGAGAUGGCUCAGGGGU
RNAcentral lists this non-coding RNA (26 nucleotides) under Cricetulus griseus (Chinese hamster). Lineage: Eukaryota; Metazoa; Chordata; Mammalia; Rodentia; Cricetidae. The record is from RNAcentral.